This 253-nucleotide ribosomal RNA is filed under the name uncultured bacterium. Its description in RNAcentral is "partial 16S ribosomal RNA". It matches the Rfam family "Bacterial small subunit ribosomal RNA", at positions 524 to 776 of the family's 1533-position model. The record is from RNAcentral.
UACGAAGGGUGCAAACGUUAUUCGGAAUAACUGGGCGUAAAGGGCGCGUAGACGGUUUUUUAAGUCUGUUGUUAAAUUUUCUGGCCCAACCAGAAGUAAGCGGCGGAUACUGAUAAACUUGAGGAUGGAAGAGAGAAGUGGAAUUCUCGGAGUAGCGGUAAAAUGCGUAGAUAUCGAGAGGAACACCGAUGGCGAAGGCAGCUUCUUGGUCCAUUUCUGACGCUGAGGCACGAAAGCGUGGGGAGCAAACAGG